UGUCAUCCCAUAGUUAGUUAGUAGGUUAGUUAAGACACCUUACCUUACCUUACCUUACCUUAAUGUCUCCUCUCUCUCUCUCUCUCUCUCUCUGGUCAUCUCUUUCUGUCAUCCCAUAGUUAGUUAGUAGGUUAGUUAAGACACCUUACCUUGCCUUACCUUACCUUACCUUAAUGUCUCCUCUCUCUCUCUCUCUCUCUCUGGUCAUCUCUUUCUGUCAUCCCAUAGUUAGUUAGUAGGUUAGUUAAGACACCUUGCCUUACCUUGCCUUAAUGUCCUCUCUCUCUCUUUUCUUCUCCUCUCUCUCCCUCCCUUCUGAUGCCUCUCUCUCUCUUCUCCUCUCCCUUCUAAUGCCUCUCUCUCUCUCUUUCUUCCUUUUUUAUCAGCAAAUUUCUUGUUCUUUCUUUCAUUAUUCCUUUUCCUUCUCUCCCUUUUUAUCAGUAAAUUUCUUGUUCUUUCUUUCAUUAUUCCUUUUCCUUCUCUCUCUCUCUCCCUUUUUAUCAGUAAAUUUCUUGUUCUUUCUUUCAUUAUUCCUUUUCCUUCUCUCUCUCUCUCUCUCUCUCUCUCUCUCUCUCCUUAUUCCUCUUUUAUCUUCCUUCUCUCAUUUAUUAUCUCUCUUUUGCUUCUCAUAUUGUUCUCUCUCUCUCUCUCUCUCUCUCUCUCUCUCUCUCUCUCUCUCU
Long non-coding RNA from Eriocheir sinensis (Chinese mitten crab), 680 nucleotides. RefSeq lists it as uncharacterized. The transcript is spliced from 2 exons. The record is from RefSeq and is a predicted model, not a curated record. Lineage: Eukaryota; Metazoa; Arthropoda; Malacostraca; Decapoda; Varunidae.